UAAUUCGAUAUAUAAAAUCAUUAAGGGAUGGAAGUAAAACUGAACUUUUUCGUAGCAGAAAAACUGAGUACUCUCUAUAUAUUCUUUUAGAGGUGUUUCAGAGGAUGUAGCAAUGUAUCUGUUGUAAGCAUUUUGUAGGAGAGUCUAAAAUUUGAAGAACAAAAUUAAAUGGCAUUUCUGGGAUGUUAAUCUAGAGUAUGUUCCUGGAUUGUCUGUAAGAGGAAAAACUUUUCUAUUACGACUUUUUGAUAAAUUCUACUUGGCUUUUAUACUUUUCCAAAAUUCCGUUUUGUUUUAGAGAAACAUAUAAACAUCUGAAAGUUAA
Long non-coding RNA from Sitophilus oryzae (rice weevil), 325 nucleotides. RefSeq lists it as uncharacterized. NCBI's taxonomy places the organism in Eukaryota, Metazoa, Arthropoda, Insecta, Coleoptera, Curculionidae. The transcript has 2 exons. The record is from RefSeq and is a predicted model, not a curated record.